AGCAGCCGCGGUAAUUCCAGCUCCAAUAGCGUAUAUUAAAGUUGUUGCAGUUAAAAAGCUCGUAGUUGAAUUUCGGGAUUGGCGCAUCGGUCGUGCCUCACGGGGUAUGAACUGGUGCAGUCAAUUUCUCACCUUCUGGAGGACCGCGAUGUCCUUAAUUGGAUGCCGCGGGGAACCAGGACCUUUACUUUAGAAAAAUUAGAGUGUUUAAAGCAGGCAUUUUUGCUUGAAUACAUUAGCAUGGAAUAAUAAAAUAGGACGGCAUGGUUCUAUUUUGUUGGUUUCUAGGACCACCGUAAUGAUUAAUAGGGAUAGUUGGGGGCAUUAGUAUUCAAUUGUCAGAGGUGAAAUCCUUGGAUUUAUUGAAGACUAACUACUGCGAAAGCAUUUGCCAAGGAUGU
This 401-nucleotide ribosomal RNA is filed under the name uncultured Entrophospora. Its description in RNAcentral is "SSU rRNA". It matches the Rfam family "Eukaryotic small subunit ribosomal RNA", at positions 569 to 967 of the family's 1831-position model. Lineage: Eukaryota; Fungi; Glomeromycota; Glomeromycetes; Entrophosporales; Entrophosporaceae. The record is from RNAcentral.